UACGAGUGGCCCGAGCGUUAAUUGGAAUCACUGGGCUUAAAGGGUUCGCAGGCGGACUUGUAGGCAUCUUGUGAAAGCCCCCGGCUCAACCGGGGAACAGCAGGGUGAACCACAAGUCUUGAGGCAGGUAGGGGUCGAUGGAACCAUGGGUGGAGCGGUGAAAUGCGUAGAUAUCCAUGGGAACGCCAAUGGCGAAGGCAGUCGACUGGGCCUGUCCUGACGCUCAGGAACGAAAGCGCGGGUAGCGAACAGG
This 253-nucleotide unclassified non-coding RNA is filed under the name uncultured Phycisphaeraceae bacterium. RNAcentral's name for it is "contains 16S-23S intergenic spacer region". It matches the Rfam family "Bacterial small subunit ribosomal RNA", at positions 524 to 776 of the family's 1533-position model. Lineage: Bacteria; Pseudomonadati; Planctomycetota; Phycisphaerae; Phycisphaerales; Phycisphaeraceae. The record is from RNAcentral.